This 86-nucleotide transfer RNA is filed under the name Ralstonia wenshanensis. RNAcentral describes it as "tRNA-Ser". Lineage: Bacteria; Pseudomonadati; Pseudomonadota; Betaproteobacteria; Burkholderiales; Burkholderiaceae. The record is from RNAcentral.
UCGGUGCGUAGUGGAUGCAGCGCGUCGCGAUCGUCUUCGGAAUAGACGGCGACCGAGGGCGAGCCGAUCGUGGCGGCUGCGCGGGC